Molecule: ribosomal RNA, 403 nt
Filed under: bacterium
Lineage: Bacteria
Description: partial 16S ribosomal RNA
Rfam family: Bacterial small subunit ribosomal RNA
Source: RNAcentral
UGGGGAAUAUUGCACAAUGGAGGGAACUCUGAUGCAGCGACGCCGCGUGAACGAAGAAGGCUUUCGAGUCGUAAAGUUCUUUUAUAUGGGAAGAUAAUGACGGUACCAUAAGAAAAAGCCCCGGCUAACUACGUGCCAGCAGCCGCGGUAAUACGUAGGGGGCUAGCGUUGUCCGGAAUCACUGGGCGUAAAGGGUUCGCAGGCGGAAAUGCAAGUCAGGUGUAAAAGGCAGUUGCUUAACUACUGUAAGCAUUUGAAACUGCAUAUCUUGAGAAGAGUAGAGGUAAGUGGAAUUUUUAGUGUAGCGGUGAAAUGCGUAGAUAUUAAAAAGAAUACCGGUGGCGAAGGCGACUUACUGGGCUCAUUCUGACGCUGAGGAACGAAAGCGUGGGUAGCAAACAGG